RNAcentral lists this non-coding RNA (163 nucleotides) under uncultured Succiniclasticum sp. The record is from RNAcentral. Lineage: Bacteria; Bacillati; Bacillota; Negativicutes; Acidaminococcales; Acidaminococcaceae.
UACAGUAAAGGUGCCCGAAAGGGCCUAACAGAGAAGUCCGGUGAAAUACCGGCGCGGUCCCGCCGCUGUAAGGGGGAGCGAACUUCAGGAUGUCACUGAAACGUUAUGUUUUGGGAAGGCGAAGCGAGCUGCGAACCCGAGCCAGAAGAACUGCCUGUACUGG